GAAUGACUGGCUAUGAUGGAAACAGCCACCAUGUUGUGAGGACACUCAAUUAGCCUUGUGGAGAGACCCACAUGGGUGAGAAACUAAGGUCUGCCACCAACAGCCCACAUCCAUUGCCAGCUCUGAGAGCAAAUAGAUCCUGCAGACCUAGUCAAGCCUCAUUUGACUGACACCUCAGUCAACAUCUUGACUGCAAGCCCAUGCAAAACACUGAGCCAGAAACCACCCACCCAAGAAGCUGUGAAUUCCUGACUGGCAAAAAAUGCUGAGCAGAAAACCAGGAAGUGGAUGGACUCCACCUCCGCAGCCACGCCUGCCCGUUUGCGCUUACUGGACUGAGGUCCUCAGGAACGUGAGCCCCUCUUCUUGGGCCUGCGAUUCCUCACCUGGAAGGGAGAAGAGUGGACUUCCUGCCUAGAGAACACCUUGGUAAACUCUUUGUGGUUCCUGUCAUGAGAAGGUGUGCAGCUUAGGGAAAAAGCCUGUGAGCUCUGGAAUCAGAUGGAACUGGAUAUGAAUUUCCAUUUAGCGCUUGUUGGAUUAAAUGUGAUGCUACUUCUCCCAGCCGAAAGAAUAAAACUGGUAAGAGGAAGGGAAAUGCAGCCUCAGUAAGGAGGCCUCCAUUCUGGAAGGGCUUCCCAGGCCCAGAGAAGGGAGAAAGUAAUUUGGAACCACCCAAGUAUUGGUGAUGCCAGGCCUCACCCUACCCUGGGGAUAUUUAAAUCUCAAAAAGGGAGCAUGGGAAUCUGACAAAGCACUUGCAUGUAUAAAGAACUCCUCCAAAUCAACAAGGCAAACACCUCAUUAGAUACAUAGGCAAAAACCUUAGAAGAGCCACAUCACAAAGGAGCACCUCCAAAUGGCCAAGAAGCAUAUGAAAAGAUGUUCAAUCUCAUUAGCUACCAGGGAAUUCAAAUUAGAACUACACCAGGAUGGCUGAAAGUGCAAAGACUGACAAUAUCAAGGGCUGGUGGGGAUGCAGAGCAACUGGAACUCUCCUAUGCACUGCGGAAGGGGUAAAUUAAUACCGCCCCUUUGGAAGAACAGUUUAGAAGCAUCACUAAAGCUGAACAUAUUCAUGCCUACUCCGGAAAUCCUGAGCCCAGUGGCUCCCUUUGAAGAACUGCCUUGGGGUUCAUGUUGCAGCAUCAAACAGGGAUGGAAGAUGCAUCUUGCUUUAGCAGCAGGAGCCUGGAAAGCAGCUGAAGCCCUGGAGGGUGCCUGGCACACAGAAUCUUGUGCUGAGCCUGGAGCACAAUGGGAGCGGGCUGGCAGGGUGGGUUCACAGCUGGACUGGGAGCAGCAGACAUACAGGCCGUAGGCACAGACAUAUAAAGACAGUCAUGCAGAUUGCAGGAUGCCUGAGAGCACAGACUCUCACAUGCACAAAUACGUGCGUGAUCGCCAGUGUGCAUCCAGACAGCCCCACAUGCAUGCACACGCAUGCACACAUGUGAUGUGUACAUAGAUGGACACAUGUCUAUGCCCACAAACACUGCAGAGACACACACAGAAGUGUCUGGCAAGGAACACUAUUUUGUCCUCAAUUUUCUGCCAGUGAGAGUCUACUGACUCCAUCUCUGAAAUGUCUCUACUUAUUGUCCCUCUUCUCCACCUGCGCCACAUCCCUAGUCCCUGAAACUCCCACCGAGACCCCUGGGCAAUAGCAAAGUCUGGACAGGAUUCCUGCUCCGCCUCUACCCCACCCUUAAGCCCAUCCUACAUGCAAGAGCAGGAGUUAUCUGGGUAUCAAGCGAAUCUGACCAGAUCACCUCCCCACUGCUUAAAACCCUUUCCUACAGGAUGAAGUUGAAAUCACUUGACAUCCCAUAUAAGGCCCUUGACUGUCUGGCAUCAGUCAUAGUCUGGCCUCAGGCCCUGGCAUGGAGUCCCCUGGACUCAGUGCUCCAGCUGAGGGCCUCCAGGAUGAAGAUGCCCUGUGCAAAGCCUCACACUUUUGCUGUUGCUGGGCUCACUGUGUGAAAUUCCCUCCUCCCUCCUUCCACCUUCCCUAUGCUGAACUGCCACUCCUCCAUCCUCCAUGGCCAGCUAAGCCAACACCUCCCCACUUCCUCCUGACAACCCAGGCACAGCCACUGACCUGUCCCAUGGCUGUCACAGCCCUUUCUUGGGCUCUCAAUGGUAUCAUUGUCACCUGUGUGCUCAUGAGCCUCCGCCACUCAACUCCAAGCACAUCAAAUAGAGAGCUCAAAACAU
RNAcentral lists this long non-coding RNA (2217 nucleotides) under Pan troglodytes (chimpanzee). Its description in RNAcentral is "lincRNA". Lineage: Eukaryota; Metazoa; Chordata; Mammalia; Primates; Hominidae. The record is from RNAcentral.